Long non-coding RNA from Pan troglodytes (chimpanzee), 763 nucleotides. RefSeq lists it as uncharacterized. NCBI's taxonomy places the organism in Eukaryota, Metazoa, Chordata, Mammalia, Primates, Hominidae. The transcript has 4 exons. The record is from RefSeq and is a predicted model, not a curated record.
CUGUCUAGAUUAUCAGAAGCAAGCAAAACCAAUGAAAUUCCAAGUGGCUGGUGUGCUCCAUCAAUUCCUGCAAGCCCCACCAAAGGCAACCUAGGAAUUCCAGAUAAAUAGAACAGAUGAUGACUUGCUAGAAAUGCAUAGGAAACAAAAUAUUCACAGAACUAAACAGAAGCCUUCGACUGGAAGAAAUGAAGGAACUGAGGCAGUAAAAUAAACAGAAACUCGCCUUGGGCCUCCCAAAUCCUCCCAGUCCCACCUUUUCCUCGUGAGCCUCAGAUUCCUGUGCAGAGCAGCCUCACCAAUAUGUUGUGCCAUUUCCUAUUCCUGGAAAAGCCCUGGAGACUGCAAGGGUGGUGUCUCACUAUGUUGCCCAGACUGUUUUCUAACCCUGGCCUCAAGCAAAUUUCCCACCUCCUUCUCCCAAAAUGCUGGGAUUACAAGUGUGAGCCAUGGUACCCAGCCUACUUAGGAGGACAUUUACUAUUCACUUACUGAUUUGCAUCAAAUUAUCGAUUGGUGGUGUUUCAGAAGGUGGAAGCUCUGCCAGCCCCACAUACAGCCUGAGUGAGACAUGCCCUUCAUUUGUUAAGCAGCUGAGGGUUUGUAACUGCUUGUGACUACGGCAUGUCCGAGAAUGUUUUGUCUGACGCACGACAAUGAGUGAAUAUAUAAUGAUUCAACAAGAGCCAUAGAGUUUUAAAAUGUGUUAUAUUUUAUAGGAAAUACAGUUACUUAGACUUAUAAAAACAAGAUAUUCUCAGAA